Molecule: ribosomal RNA, 901 nt
Filed under: Roesleria subterranea
Lineage: Eukaryota; Fungi; Ascomycota; Leotiomycetes; Helotiales
Description: SSU rRNA
Rfam family: Eukaryotic small subunit ribosomal RNA
Source: RNAcentral
GUUAUCGUUUAUUUGAUAGUACCUUACUACUUGGAUAACCGUGGUAAUUCUAGAGCUAAUACAUGCUAAAAACCCCGACUUCGGAAGGGGUGUAUUUAUUAGAUAAAAAACCAAUGCCCUUCGGGGCUCCUUGGUGAUUCAUAAUAACUUAACGAAUCGCAUGGCCUUGUGCCGGCGAUGGUUCAUUCAAAUUUCUGCCCUAUCAACUUUCGAUGGUAGGAUAGUGGCCUACCAUGGUUUCAACGGGUAACGGGGAAUUAGGGUUCUAUUCCGGAGAGGGAGCCUGAGAAACGGCUACCACAUCCAAGGAAGGCAGCAGGCGCGCAAAUUACCCAAUCCCGACACGGGGAGGUAGUGACAAUAAAUACUGAUACAGGGCUCUUUUGGGUCUUGUAAUUGGAAUGAGUACAAUUUAAAUCCCUUAACGAGGAACAAUUGGAGGGCAAGUCUGGUGCCAGCAGCCGCGGUAAUUCCAGCUCCAAUAGCGUAUAUUAAAGUUGUUGCAGUUAAAAAGCUCGUAGUUGAACCUUGGGCCUGGCUGGCCGGUCCGCCUCACCGCGUGCACUGGUCCGGCCGGGCCUUUCCUUCUGGGGAGCCGCAUGCCCUUCACUGGGUGUGUCGGGGAACCAGGACUUUUACUUUGAAAAAAUUAGAGUGUUCAAAGCAGGCCUAUGCUCGAAUACAUUAGCAUGGAAUAAUGAAAUAGGACGUGUGGUUCUAUUUUGUUGGUUUCUAGGACCGCCGUAAUGAUUAAUAGGGAUAGUCGGGGGCAUCAGUAUUCAAUUGUCAGAGGUGAAAUUCUUGGAUUUAUUGAAGACUAACUACUGCGAAAGCAUUUGCCAAGGAUGUUUCAUUAAAUCAGUGAACGAAAGUUAGGGGAUCGAAGACGAUCAGAUACCGU